AGGCUCAGGAUGAACGCUAGCUACAGGCUUAACACAUGCAAGUCGAGGGGCAGCAUGACGAUAGCUUGCUAUGUUGAUGGCGACCGGCGCACGGGUGAGUAACGCGUAUCCAACCUUCCCUAUAGUAGAGGAUAGCCCGGCGAAAGUCGGAUUAAUACUCUAUGUUUUCCAAUGCAGACAUCUAAAAUGGAACAAAGGCUUGCCGCUAUAGGAUGGGGAUGCGUCUGAUUAGAUAGUAGGCGGGGUAACGGCCCACCUAGUCAACGAUCAGUAGGGGUUCUGAGAGGAAGGUCCCCACAUUGGUACUGAGACACGGACCAAACUCCUACGGGAGGCAGCAGUGAGGAAUAUUGGUCAAUGGACGAGAGUCUGAACCAGCCAAGUAGCGUGCAGGAAUGACUGCCCUAUGGGUUGUAAACUGCUUUUAUGCGGGAAUAAAGUCAGGUACGUGUACCUGUUUGUAUGUACCGCAUGAAUAAGGACCGGCUAAUUCCGUGCCAGCAGCCGC
RNAcentral lists this ribosomal RNA (508 nucleotides) under uncultured bacterium. RNAcentral describes it as "bacterial SSU rRNA". It matches the Rfam family "Bacterial small subunit ribosomal RNA", at positions 20 to 518 of the family's 1533-position model. The record is from RNAcentral.